Triticum aestivum (bread wheat) is the source of this 123-nucleotide non-coding RNA. NCBI's taxonomy places the organism in Eukaryota, Viridiplantae, Streptophyta, Magnoliopsida, Poales, Poaceae. The record is from Rfam.
AAGGUAUUCCCUCCGUCUGAAAAAGCUUGUCCCAAGCUUGUCCCUCAAAUGGAUGUAUUUAGCACUAACUUGGUGCUAGAUACAUCCAUUUAGACAAGCUUUUUCGAACAGAGGGAGUAUUAG